This 236-nucleotide long non-coding RNA is filed under the name Setaria italica (foxtail millet). Its description in RNAcentral is "long non-coding RNA (SITA_LNC002287)". The record is from RNAcentral. Lineage: Eukaryota; Viridiplantae; Streptophyta; Magnoliopsida; Poales; Poaceae.
AACAACUUGGUCCUAAGUCCCAAGCAAACAUACAAGGCCUGAGGCCUGACAAACGGUGAUGCAGCACUCUGAUAGAUUCUGUACGUUCAAUUGUUUCAAUGCUUCCUGUUGACUUAGAUAGAAUUUUUACAUGAGACUGGUGCCAUUGGAAAGUGUAUCUUCUCAUCUUUCUAAGCAUAUAUAGAACGUCCAAAAUGGACUCCGUAUGUGAUGGGGGUGACAAUUCUAAGGUGAAC